Molecule: ribosomal RNA, 475 nt
Filed under: Prevotella denticola
Lineage: Bacteria; Pseudomonadati; Bacteroidota; Bacteroidia; Bacteroidales; Prevotellaceae
Description: bacterial SSU rRNA
Rfam family: Bacterial small subunit ribosomal RNA
Source: RNAcentral
GAUGAACGCUGCUACAGGCCUUAACACAUGCAGUUCGAGGGGAACGGCAUUGAGUGCUUGCACUGAAUGGACGUCGACCCGGCGCACGGUGGUAACGCGUACCAACCUUCCCGGUUACUGCGGGAUAACCUGCCGAAAGGCAGACUAAUACCGCAUGUUCUUCGAUGACGGCAUCAGAUUCGAAGCAAGAUCCGUCGGUAACGGAGGGGAUGCGUCUGAUUAGCUAGUUGGCGGGGCGACGGCCCACCAAGGCGACGAUCAGUAGGGGUUCUGAGAGGAAGGUCCCCCACAUUGGAACUGAGACACGGUCCAAACUCCUACGGGAGGCAGCAGUGAGGAAUAUUGGUCAAUGGGCGGAAGCCUGAACCAGCCCAAGUAGCGUGCAGGAGGACGGCCCUACGGGUUGUAAACUGCUUUUAUGCGGGGAUAAAGUGAGGGACGCGUCCCUUUUUGCAGGUACCGCAUGAAUAAGGAC